Molecule: long non-coding RNA, 218 nt
Filed under: Elaeis guineensis (African oil palm)
Lineage: Eukaryota; Viridiplantae; Streptophyta; Magnoliopsida; Arecales; Arecaceae
Description: long non-coding RNA (EGUI_LNC073921)
Source: RNAcentral
GAUGACAGUCCCAAUGGUGGCUGUUGCCGGUGGCACACAAGGGAGAAAAAAUAAGAAAAAUAGGGAUGGCCCUGUUCUUCUUCAAUUCGACGGCUUGCCGUCAGUUGCCAACAAAAGAAGGAUGCCUAGGAAGGAAGAAGAGUAGGAAAGGAGCUUACCUUGCUCCGACGGUCGAGAAGAACUCCGACGACCUCCUUUUUCCCCAUCUAAGAACUCAC